This 253-nucleotide ribosomal RNA is filed under the name uncultured bacterium. Its description in RNAcentral is "partial 16S ribosomal RNA". It matches the Rfam family "Bacterial small subunit ribosomal RNA", at positions 524 to 776 of the family's 1533-position model. The record is from RNAcentral.
GACGAGGGAUCCUAGCGUUGUUCGGAAUCAUUGGGCGUAAAGCGGGUGUAGGCGGACUUAUAAGUCAGGUGUGAAAUCCCAGGGCUCAACCCUGGAAGUGCACUUGAUACUGUAAGUCUUGAGUGUGGUAGAGGCUAUUAGAAUUCCUGGUGUAGUGGUGAAAUACGUAGAUAUCAGGAGGAAUACCGGAGGCGAAGGCGGAUAGCUGGGCCAACACUGACGCUGAGACCCGAAAGCGUGGGUAGCAAACAGG